Molecule: long non-coding RNA, 223 nt
Organism: Limulus polyphemus (Atlantic horseshoe crab)
Lineage: Eukaryota; Metazoa; Arthropoda; Merostomata; Xiphosura; Limulidae
Exons: 3
Source: RefSeq, a predicted model, not a curated record
CCAAGACUGAAAGAGCGAGCAGUAUUAAGCCUAAACAUCAAAGACAACUUUAGCUAUUUACGGGAUCCACUUUGAGGAAUCGAACCCCCGGAUUUUAGCGUUAUAAGUCCGAAAACUUACUACUGUCCCACCGGGGGAUCCUACUUUAAGCGUGCUGUCUGCCCGAAGCCUUCUUGCCAAACCAGUGGGAGGGGAGCUGUUCUAGUUUCGCUGUAUUAGAACG